CCUACAUGUAUAUAUUUAGUCAGUGUCCCCAAUACAAAUGCAAUGUGCUAUUUUCUUUACUUUUAUUCAGUUGUUGGGCAGCUACAGUGCUUGUAGUGGUGCAGUGCUGUACUAAUUUAGUUAACCACUGAAAAUACAUUGACAAGGAAUCAAUAUUUCUGUGCUUGAUCUGGGGUAUUCGGUGAACCGCUUUGAUCAAAAUGAAUGAGAAGUCGUCUGAUUUGGAAAAACGCAGAGCAAGGCUAAGGCGAUGGGGAACCGCAUCAUGUCCCAGUGUAGUGAAGGCGCCGACAGUGAUUGCCAUGGUGGGUCUGCCAGCUCGUGGCAAGACAUACAUAUCGAAGAAACUCACACGGUAUCUCAACUGGAUAGGAAUUCGCACAAAAGUUUUCAAUGUGGGUGAUUAUCGACGGGCUGCUACAGACAGAUACAAAACUCAUGAUUUCUUUCGACCAGAUAACAAAGAAGCUCAAGAAAUCCGCCAUAAAUGUGCAUCAAUGGCUGUCGAUGAUGCCAGCAAGUUUCUUCUGAAUGGAGGGGAAGUGGCAGUUGUAGAUGCGACAAACACAACUCGUGAGAGACGGAAACUGUUAGUGACUGUAUUCACAGAGCAGCACAGUUUUAAACUGUUCUUCAUAGAAUCUAUAUGUGAUGAUCCAUCCAUCAUUGAAGCUAACAUUUUAGAAGUGAAAGUGUGUAGUCCUGACUAUAUGGGUGUGGAUAAAAAUGAAGCAAUGCAUGACUUUCUACAAAGAAUAGAACAUUACCGACGAGCAUACGAAUCUCUGGACAUUGUCAACGAAAAGGACAUGUCUUUUAUACAGAUCUUCAACCAAGGCGAGAGAUACCUCGUCAACAAACUUGCAGGCCAUUUACAGAGCAGAGUUGUCUACUAUCUGAUGAAUAUACAUGUGUUACCAAGAACUAUCUACUUAACAAGGCAUGGUGAAAGUACGAUGAAUCUUGAAGGAAGGAUUGGAGGUGACAGCAAACUUUCAGCAAGAGGCGAUCAAUAUGCAAAAGAAUUGGCAAAGUUUGUGGAAGAUGAACAUAUUGAGAAUUUGAAAGUUUGGACAUCAGAAAUGAAUCGUACUAUAGAAACGGCUAAAUAUAUUGAUGCUCCAAAAGAGUUCUGGAAGGCUUUGAACGAGAUUGAUGCCGGUAUCUGUGAAGGUAUGACGUAUGAAGCAAUUCAAGAAAAAUAUCCUGAAGAAUUUGCCCGACGUGAUCAAGACAAAUUCCACUACAGAUAUCCCAGUGGAGAGUCAUAUCAAGAUCUUGUAGCAAGACUGGAACCAGUUAUACUGGAACUGGAACGACAAGAAAAUGUGAUGGUCAUCUGCCACCAGGCUGUUGCAAGAUGUCUGCUGGCGUAUUUUCAGGAUAAAACGUCCGAGGAAAUUCCACAUGUGCCUGUUCCAUUCGAGAAGGUUGUAAGAAUGCAUAUGACAGGCCGAGGUUGCGACUGUGAAUUCAUUCCAUUGAUGAGUGUAGCAGAAGAGAGAAAAGAGAAAAGUAGAUCUCCCAUAUCUGAAGGUGCCUCUGCACACAGUGAUAAAACUGACUCCGGUUGCCUAUGGUUGUAGAGUUGAGUUCUUCCAUCUCAAAGCAGAGGCUGUCAACACUCAUCGAGAAAAACCAAAGAAUGUUGAUAGGAUGCGGUCCAUGGACGAAGCUUUGGAAACAGUUCCCAAUCAUGAGUAACAGUGCCAUGAUGAUAAACACUGGAAACAGUUUUCAAACAUCAGUAACAGUGUCAUGAUGAUAAACACUGGAAACAGUUCCCAAACAUCAGUAAUAGUGCCAUUAUAAUGAUAAACAUUGGCAAUGGUUUCAAAUGAUCAGUAACAGUGCUAUGACAAUAAACAUUGGAAACAGUUCCCAAUACACCAGUAAUAAUGUCUUGAGGACAGUAAACAUUGGAAACAGUUCCCAAUCAUCACUAACAGUGUUUUGAUGACAAGCAACAUUGGAAACAGUUCCCAGUCAUCAGUAGCAGUGUUUUGAUAACAAGCAAUGAUGGAAACAGUUCCCAAUCAUCAGUAGCAGUGUUUUGAUGACAAGCAACAUUGGAAACAGUUCCCAGUCAUCAGUAACAGUGUUUUGAUGACAAGCAACAUUGGAAACGGUUCCCAGUCAUCAGUAACAGUGUUUUGAUGACAAGCAACAUUGGAAACAGUUCCCUGUCAUCAGUAACAGUGUUUUGAUGACAAGCAACAUUGGAAACGGUUCCCAAUCACCAGUAACAAUGUUUUGAUAACAAGCAACAUUGGAAGCCAUCCUCAAUCAUCAGUAACAGUGUUUUGAUGACAAGCAACAUUGGAAACAGUUCCCAAUCAUCAGUAACAGUGUCAAAGUGAAUAUAAAGAAAGCUUUUUCAAUACAACCAACCUUCUUCCAGGUCUUUUGCAGCUAUUUAAGUCCAAGAAUCAGGGCUGGUAUGAAUGCAAUAUUCAGAUAUACACGUAUAUUUUAAAUUUUAUUUUCAUCACAUGAUUUCAUUACAAAGUUUACUUUUGUGUGACCAAUUAUCGUCAUCCUUGAUAAUGUAUCUGAUGUCUGAAACCUACACAGAUAACCUGUGUUAAAUAGGAGUUGUUGUUUAGACAAAAAGUUAACCAGGGUCGAGUUCAGUCAGAUAUAGCAGAAAAAUGUCCGCUAGACUGAUUUAUGCACUUCACAGUAAACUAAAUGGCCACAUCGGGAACCAGUCAAGUAGUUAGCAAACGUUAGCGAAACAUUUACUGGCUAAACUUGGGGCAGUAUCCAGGGAUGAAAAAAAGUAUAUGUGUUUGUGAAAUUGCAGAUUUUAGUUUUAUCAUAAGCAAUCUGUUUCUGAUCUUUUUCUUUGAUGAAAAGCGCACAAUAACCUCCUGCCUUUCAAGACCAUACAAAUGUUUCUGAUUUUGUGUGUGUGUUUGUACAAUUUACUUUUUGUAUCUUAUAAAUAUUUUUAAAACUUUAUAUGGGUUGAGUGCCGGCUCAUCCUUUGCUGUGUAAAGGCACCGACAAAAUGACGUCUGCUAAAUGUUUUUAUGUUACACAUAAAGCUUGAGCAGAACUUAGUCACUGUGUCAUGCACUGAUAGAUAGACAUUUAAUUUAAUCUUAGGAUUAAAAGAAAGCAGGGUAUUUUAACUCAGGAUACAAUUCUGUACCUAUUAGAUGGUAUUGCCAUGGAGACGAGAUUUAACCAGGAUUAAAAUAGUGUGGGUUAUUUUCACCCUGGAUAAAAUGCUGCAGCUACAGCCACUGUAAUUAUGGGGCAUUUGUAUGAUAUGCAGUCGUAAUGUAAUUUAUCAUGUUACUGUGAUUCAUAGAGGUAUUUGUACAUGUAUUGUUUAGUGUUUUUACAUCUUUAAAAUACUAGGGCCUCCAUUGUUGAUAAUGUAUCUAUGCUGUUGUUGUGGUAAAUAAAUUGUGUUAUUUUAUUAUCAAUUUAAAAUUUUAAGGCCUAAAAAUUAUUCUGUCUUUGCUUUAACAAAAAAAGUAGUUUUUUUUGCAAUGUCAGAUUCAAACAUGAUCACAUUGGUCCAUUUGUGAACAAUGAUUGAACUGAAAUAUGGCCACUGUCAUAGUGGAAAUAUAGUACAAUGUAUAUUUUGUUCAGUUUAUUAUUAUUAUUUGGGUUGUAUUAAGGUAUGGCAUUGUCCAUCUGUUUUCGGAGCAUAUCUUUCUUAUCAAUUUGUAUAGGAUCAUUAAAUCUUGCAUGCAAGUACAGUGUGAAAUUUUGGUGUGUUGCAUACCAUAACUAGGUCACUGUGACCUACUUUUCAUGUAUUACAGCACAUUAAAUGAAAUCCUUGUCCAGAGCAUAUCUUUCUUAUCAAUCAAUUCUUAUAAGAUCAUCAAAUUAUGCAUGCAAGUGCAACUUAGGAUGGUGGUGUGUUGCAUACCAUAACUAGGUCACCCCGGCCUACUGUUCACACAUUUCUGCACAUUAUCUUCCUUAUCAAUUCAUAUAGGAUCAUUAAACCUUGCAUGCAAUUACAACUUGGGAUUGCGGUGUGUCGCAUACCAUAACUAGGUCACUGUGACCUACUUUUCAUGCAUUAUAGCACAUUAAAGGAAAUCCUUGUUCAGGCCAUAUCUCUUAUCAAGGUCAUUGUGACCUGCUUUUCACACAAUAAUGCACAUUAAAAGAAAUCCUUGACUGGGUCAUAUUUUGCUUAUCAGUUCAUAUAAGGAUCAUAAAACUGUACAUGCAAAUACUACUUGGGAUGAUCGUGUGUUGCAUACCAUAACUAUGUCACAGCGACCUACUUUUCACACAUUACUGCACAUUAAAGGUAAUCCUUGUCCGAGCCAUAUCUUCCUUAUUAAUUCAUAUCGGAUUACCUACUUAUGACAGGUAUAUCAUGGAUCUCACCAGACCUCCUUGUUUUUUUAAGUCUUCCAUCACCCCUACUCCAACAAUUUGAUUAAGUUUGGAAUUGGCCCUAAAUUUGAACAACUUAAAAUUUAAACCUAUCAGUAUAAAAUUAUUGCUUAUCAUAAUAUCUAAAGAGAUUUCAGAUAAAAAAAGAUGUUUACAAUCAUGGUCUUGAAAUUAUGAAUCGGCUCAAACAUGUUUUAAAUGGUCAAAAGUGUCCACUUACAACAGGUGGAUGCUAAUUACAGGUUUUCAUUUGUACAAUAUAGUGAACUGUGUUUUAUUUGUUCCUGUCUGUACUGGUAAUUUAUAGAUGUAAACUUUACAGCAUACUUUAAAUGAACUUCUCGCAUAAAAUAAAACUAGACAUGUUUCAGUUUCACCAUUUCAAAUUUCAUCUUCGGGUUUGUUUACAGUAAUUAUGUUGAUCUCUUUCUCAAUAGCUACUAAAUGAGAUGCAUUGUCACACUUAAUGAGCUAUAAAUGCCAAGCUUGGUUUACCCAGACUAAUAAGUUUAUGAACUCUUAACAGAAUACAAAACCAUGCAUUUGACACACUAUGUCACUCAAUAUUUAAUUACUGUAAAUUAUACAAUCAUGUUACUUUUAAGUCCUGAUGUUAAUGUGUAUAGGCAUUCAUAAAACAUGUGGUAUUAAAGCAUUUUUCGUAGGUUUAUAUAGACAAGUAUUGACAUAAUAUAAAACUAAAAUAUUGAAACCAUUAUUUUAUUUAAAAAUUGUUUUUUAUAUACCAAGAUGUAUGUAUAUGUAUUGCAUGAAUUUUGCAGAUGUAUUUUAAUUCUUAAAUAUACCAGAUUUAUAAUGUGCUGUAUAAUUCAGUGUUCUCGGUGCUCCAUUUAAUUUUGAUGCCCUCCUUUCAUGUUCUGCCGCUCUUGUUUACUUUUUUGGCCCCUCUUUAAUUUUCCCGCACCCUACUAUAUUUUACAGCACCCAUCUCCGCUAUUUCCAAAUGCAGACAUUUUUUCACAUCCCCCCCUCCCACAAAUAAUUUAUCAGUCUACACACUGAACAUCAAAGGAAACAGAGCCGCGGUGUGUACGAAAAGGCAACUUGUCGAAAAACUUCAGUAGCUUACGACAGUUACCAUAAUAACGUAAUUUAACAAUAUUUUUAACAGCCUCUAUUUUGUCCCAUACCUGUAUCCAUUUGUAUGUUUGAUACCCACAAUAAAAGCUAUAUUUUAUUUGAGUAAUGAAAACAUUUUUUUUUCUUUUCUAUUUGUUAAUCUCCGACUGAAAAACUACUUAUUUGGCGCUACAGUUGUCCCGUGAUCAGAAUGGUCAUUCUGUCUUUUUGUGUCCACUCACGAUUGUCUGAUAUUUUGUCCUCAUUUGCAGAUUUAAUUGAUUGUAACUGAUGAUUUUUACUUUCUAUCAUUUGUUCAGCAAUUCUGUAUAAAAUAUUGUAUUAUAAAAUAGUUUGAUAUUUGGGGGAAUCACCGCUUAUAGACCAAAUAACUUCGGCUGGGUCAAAGUCCGAGGUGCACCCAACUUUUGAUAGAAAUAUGAACGCCACAAGUCAUGUGAUUGGUGAUAAAUGUGAGUGUGUUGGUUGUAAAAAAACAAAAAAUUUCAUCUGUGCAAAAAAUGUCUGCAAUUUUAUUUCAUCUAGUACCACUGUGUCAAGUAGCCGUGUGCUUGAAACAUG
Molecule: unclassified non-coding RNA, 6039 nt
Filed under: Gigantopelta aegis
Lineage: Eukaryota; Metazoa; Mollusca; Gastropoda; Neomphalida; Peltospiridae
Description: 6-phosphofructo-2-kinase/fructose-2,6-bisphosphatase- like, transcript variant X2
Source: RNAcentral